RNAcentral lists this ribosomal RNA (253 nucleotides) under uncultured bacterium. RNAcentral describes it as "partial 16S ribosomal RNA". It matches the Rfam family "Bacterial small subunit ribosomal RNA", at positions 524 to 776 of the family's 1533-position model. The record is from RNAcentral.
UACAGAGGUCUCAAGCGUUGUUCGGAAUCACUGGGCGUAAAGGGCGCGUAGGCGGCCUGUUAAGUCGAACGUGAAAUCCCCGGGCUCAACCCGGGAACUGCGUCCGAAACUGGCAGGCUUGAAUCCGGGAGAGGGAUGUGGAAUUCCAGGUGUAGCGGUGAAAUGCGUAGAUAUCUGGAGGAACAUCGGUGGCGAAGGCGACAUCCUGGACCGGUAUUGACGCUGAGGCGCGAAAGCCAGGGGAGCAAACGGG